AAGUAGGCUUUUAAACAUCAGUAGUAGAUUAAUAAAACUUUAUAGAUAAAUGAUGUGAAUCCCCAGUAGAAAACUAGCCAGGAAAUACACUGAAUUCGCAUUAAAGAUGCAAAGUUGCAACCAACUUAAUGUUUUUAAAAAUAACUAAAAUUAUGACUGCUAAUAUAAUACUGCUUUUGUUUUACAGGCAAAGCAACACUAAAACUCUGAUACACAGAAACGUAUCAUGGUCAGCAAAAACACUGAUCAUUGUCUAGAACCUUCCCAUACAGGAUACAAUUGUUUAAAUAUUUACACUAAUAAUGUUUUACCCAAACAAAUUUAACCUAGGGAGGUCUAAGCAUUUCUUCUGAUUUGAGAGUAUUUCCCACGUAACACAUCAUUAGUAACCUAUCAAUAACCCUAAUUAUUCCCAACAUUUCUUUCUUUACAAGGUGACAAAACAAAUCUUAGUGGGAACCCUUUGCAAAAUCUCAAAAACAAUUUUAAGUGCUGACGAGGUUAAUCGAACUUUGAGCUUGACACAACUUCGGGACCACAAAGCCCUCGAUCCCAUGUAAAUUUUCUGCACUUGAAUUUGUUUGCUCCUCUUAAGAGCAACCCCUGCCCCAUGUGCUUAACCACAAACCAACACUUCCUGCCUUAACUUCCCUGUUAGUACAAUAUUUGAUGAAGGUUAAGUUUCAAGAACCCCCUCCCCUACCAGUUUUCAGCUCCCCACCUCCAACUCUCCACAGCCACCUAUCCCAGGCGUCUCUGCAUUUAAAAGUUCUGCCCACCCAUCCCUCCCCAGAUACAUUUCUGACUUAGUCUUAGAGCGUCUUCCUAUUAUGAUACUCCUCUCCCCCUAUUGCAAUAACCCCCUUCAUAUGAACAUAGUAACAUCCUUCAUAGUAACAUCCAUUGCAUUUUUUUUCUUUCACAGGGAUGACGCUGUAACUCUGACAGAAUGUCAGAUGCCCCCAGGACCUUGCUUUCUUCACCCAGGCGCCAAUGCCAUCUGAUCAGAUGCUGGCUCCUUUCCUGGCCGGGGAAGUUGGGAUCCACAUGGUGAGUCUAAAUCCUGGUCCAGUGCUUCACACAUGUGUCUAUUGUAGCAUGGUAAGGACUUGGCUUUAUUCUUCAUUUUUGUCUUUUUUCCUUCUAUUUCUCUGCCUUCUUCCAGCUUUUCUGAGUAUAGUUAAAGCCCCUGACUCUUGGAUUACAUUGACUUAUUCUGAGCAGGGCUCCUGAAUCCCAUGACUCCAAGAUUUCAUCCAAACGGUGCCCUGCUUUUAUUGUUUGGUACAAAGAAACAGAACAAAGUCUCUUCCACAAAAAUUUUCAGAGACCACUGCUUCCUUCCAAGGCCAUUUCUCUUCCUCGGUGUUUUCUAAGACCUAUCCCUUCCCAUCAUCCUCCUCUAACUCUGCCUCCCUUUUUCCACCUUCAACUUUCCCUUCAGCUCCCUAGAAUCCUUCGUUCUCCCCCCUUCAACGCCUCUACCUCCUCUGUCAUCCACCCUGCCAGGCCUUUCUUUUCUCACUCAGGCUCCUCGUCCUGUAGACACCUGAUAUUUAAGUCCCUUACCACUGUCGGGGCUGUGAGGAGCCCAGCGACCCCAGGAGCAAAAGCCUGCAGCUGAAAAAGCUAAUUAGAAAUAAGCUUCAAGUUUUCUUUACUCAGAUGGGCUUUGGAGACACCGAUGGCCACUUGGUCUCUCCUCUGUCACUCUCCCAAAAUGUAGUCCACAGCCUCCAUUGGAUACAUAUCGGGGCCAAGUACAUCUUGAGGGUCUCCUCCACAAAUACUGGGGAGACUGCUUCAGCUCUUACAUUGAGCAGGUUACUUCAAUUUGCCCCAUCUGCCAGAAACACGAUCCUUGUAAAAAGGUAAAAGUGAGGCAGGGAUUAGAGUCAGCUCUUUUACAUGAACCGGUGAGUUUUGAGUCUUUGCGUUUAUAUCUGAACCAGCUCUAAAAUUUUUUAAUUAAAACUUAAAGCUAUAAGCUCUUUCUUUGUGUCCAUCUGUAUGUGCGUAUAUGUAUGUUGUAUUAUACACAUGUACUAUUUUCCUACCUCCAAAUGGUAUGACCACAUUAAAUUCUGAAGUCCCUUAAAGGAGCUCCUUCUGGAUUGGAUAAGAGAUGAAUAGGAGUUUAUAGAAUUUUAAAUAUUUCCGAAAUUCCCAGAGACCGAGACAAUUAAAUCUCUAAUAUGUUUAAUGUGGGGGAAAAAGGUAUUCUUAUAAAAGUUUACCAAUGUGUUUUUAAAAUUCAGGCUCACGAGGUAAAUCUUUGGCAAACGAGGCUAGUUUAAAUGUUGUUGGUUUAAUAAAUACAGUUAUGCCUUUUGAGUUAUCAGCCUUGUGAGAACACAUUUUUAUUUUACUUAGGCAUGUUCUUCCUAAACUCAUCCAGGUUAAGUUUGCUUAUUGCUUGAUUAUCUGGACAUACCAUUGCUAUGUUUUAACAAUAUGCUUGAUAUACGUUCGUGGUAUAUCAUGUCUCAGAACCAUGAUAUUGUAUCUGUCAUGUUUUCCUCUAAAGAUUAUACUCAUCCAUUUUCAUAAACUACAUAUAAUAUCCAGUCUUCUUUGAAAACAGGAUUAACGAUGCUAAUUAAACAUUAGCAUGUUUUGCCCAAAACUGAUUGAACUGACUUUUUCAGUGUCCCAUAAAAAUCAAAUUGCUUCAUCAAUUGUAUUAUUUUUAUAGUGAACUCUGCUCAGAUCUUUCACCUUUGAAAAUUAUCAAAAUGAACUAACCAUGGCUAUUUUAAGUUUUCUGUCCUUCACAGGUGGUUUUAUGUUACUCUGAUGCUUCCCGAAGAGCCCUUGCAAAUCAGCUACCGACUGAGUGCUCUGUCUUCAACAAAAAAGGAUUAUCUUAGAGACCCGUGGAAGCAGACUAUGCCAGCCAGGUACUCUUGGGCAUCCCAUUUAAGAACACUGAAACAAUUGACCUCUGCCUGCACUCCAAACAGAUGAUUCAAUUGGUCUUCUAGGGUCAUCACUGAGAAUAUGGUGGCCCUGAGGUCUAUCUCACUCAGCCAUCCGCUGUUUGAGUUAUUCCUUAUCCUUGAAUUGUCCAUGAAGAGUCUCUCUGAGCCCACCUUGAACAAAGAGAGGGACUGACAAGGCUGAGGCAACUUUAUGCUUCAUAUAAGUUUAGGCUGCUUUGCUGAGAACCACUAGGUCCCAACUCUGCAAACUUUCUGCACUUUUGCUUGUUUACUUCAACCGAGACCAGAAUCCCAAGUCCUUGUGCCCGAGGACACAACUUUCCUGCCUCAACUUUUCUACUAGUACAACACUGGAUGCAGUUCAUUAUGUUUCAAGGCACCUUCCGCACACCAGCUGUUAGCAUGGCAUCCUUCUGCUUUGCACAGGCACCUAUCCCAGGGUCUCUGCUUACAGAAACUUUGCUUGUCCCACCCGCUCCACCCCCCCCCCGCCACCUGCCUGACACUGCUCUGGCUCAGGCUUUGAGCAUCUCUCUGCAAUAGUCUCAUUCAAUAAUACCUCUCCUUACUCGGGUCCAGACUUAACUUUUUUUUUUUUUUCUUGACAAUUUCUUCGGCAAAAGAUAUCAUUUAGGAUUUGAUUUUUGGAAAGUAAAAUACAAAAAGUAGUCAGGAAAUUUGAACACUUGAUUAAAUAGGACAGUGGAUUACUGAGAAAUAAUAGUUGGUUACCUAAUUAGCCAAAAUGAAGACAUAAAUUUAAAAGUAGGCAUAGAAGGGACGUGACUAUAAAGAACUCCAAUUCUUUUCAAGUGAAAAGACUUUGUUCUCUCGCGUAAUUAAAGAUAUGAUAAAGUCAACACAAAGUAUAGGAAAUGAGUCUAAUAAGACCCUGAAUAGUUGUUUUCUAGGCAGAUUAUUCUAAAGGUAAAGAAAAAUAUUUUUUACAAGCACUUAUUAAGAAAACACCAGUAAUCCAAGGGAAAAAAAUGUCAUUUUAAUAGAAAGAAAACCAAGUGCUAGUUUUGAAACAGCAUAUUUGGUACUAACACUCUUAUUAAAAAUCUUAUAUUUAAAUUAAAAAAAAAGAAAUGGAAAAAAAGAUUCAUAAAAACAAUCUUAUAAAUAAGCCCAUCAGCCUUAGCCAGCUUUGAUUCUAAGAAAUACAAUUCCUUUUCCAUGAACCAUCUACAACUUUCUCUAUCCAGACAAGUUUGUCAUACACUUGUCUCUCAUUUGGGAAGCAGUUAUUUUACUUUGGAACAAAGCUACUCUUGUUUUUCUUAACAAAAUACCCCCUGCACACUUCAUGUGCAAAGUUGCUCCUCUCGGCUACUAUCACUCCUGUCAGAGUCUCAUUCACAUAUACUGAUUCUAAGUUUUCACUACAGCCACUUCUACUGCAUAUAGAAAACCAGGAGACGGUGUAAGAGAAGAGUUAUUUCCAGGGAAUGUGUUAAAGCCGCGAGGCAGAUCUUAUUAGAACUACUGCAGUAGAGGAGAGAGACUUUGGUAUCCCAUUCCCAUGCAGCACAGACAGCUGGAGAUCUCAGCCAAGGAGCCAGGGAGGGGGUGAGUGGAUAGGAAAUUACUAAGAGGAACUUGGUUAGAUACCAAAGUACGGGGAUUCUUGCUAAACUGGCUUAACAGGAUUCUUACUAAAAGCAGGCGCCAAGGACUUAGAUAUCUAGGGCAGGGUGUGAGGAGCUUGAUCAGAUAUCAAGGAUGAUCCCAUAUAAAGAGGGGCAAGUGUCAAUUAACUAGCUUAGGAUUCAUUGCUAAAGUGGGGGCUCAGCAGGCCAAGGUCGAGCCUAGUCUAGAAGAAGGCUCACAGGAGCCUAACUAAAGUUUGGUCAAGGAAGGAGUACCUGAUAGUAAAUAAUUGUAAACUGUCUUUCAUAUACCAGUAUUUUCUAGCAGACUAGCAAAGUUUAUAAAUAUACAUCUCAACAUCUCAUAAUUUUUAUAAUCAUAAGCGUUCCUUAUAGGUACAGCUUCUCAAUGUGGCAAAAAUGAACAUGUGCAUUAACAGACCCAAAUAGAUAGCCUCUCUGUAUUAUAUAAAAGUAAAAGUCCAAAAGUAUAUAAAAUGAAAUUGUAUUCAGCAAUUAAUGCUUCAAUUUUUUCUCUUAGAUAGGAUUUAGGUGUCUAAUGAAUAUUCAUAAAUUAAGUCAAUUUAGCAUCAGUCCAAGGUUUUAAGCUACCAAUUCAUUUUGGACACUGUCUUUAAGCUGACAUACUGCAAAAUAUAAUUACUUUGAAAUAAAGUUUGUCCAAAUAAUGACUUAAUUUGACUAAUACAAAUGUACAUUUUUAUAAUCUUAAAAUAUAGUAACUGAAAUGAUAGUGUAUUAAAUCAGCCAAACUUUAUAAAUUGAGGAAAAACAUGCUUGCAUAAAAUUAAAAUAUAUGUUUCUAUUACAUUUAAUGCUGACAACUCAGAAGAUAUAGCUGUUUUUAUUAAACCAAUAAUAUUAAAUUAGUCUCAUUUGCUAGAGUUACCUAAAUUAUGUAAACUUAAAUUCUUAGAACAUUUGAAUUACUGCCUAUAAGAAUGUAUUUUGAGCACAUUGAAAGUAUUAGAAAUUUAAUUUUUUCAAUAUCUGGGAAUUUUUAAGAAUAGUCCUUUAUUUGUAUAUGCCUUUAGCUAACUCUAAGUCAAUUAGAAUAAAACUCCUUAACAAUUUUGUUAUAAUCUAAUUUAGUAAUACCAUCUGGAAGUCGGAAAAUAUUACAUAUCUAUAGACACAUAAACAUACAUAAAAACCUAGAAAACUUAUAGCUUCUCUUCCAAAAUUUUAGCCCAUACAUCAGGGGUAAACCCAAAAAUACAAAACUCAUUUUUCAUAUAAAAAGAGCUCCUCUCUAAUGGGUACAAAUUCUUAGUUGAUUUGAGUUCAAAAUUGGGGAAAAAUGAACAAACAGAAAAGAGUAACAAACACGAUUUUCUGUCAUCUUUCAUUCAAAAGAGAAAAAUAUCUAUAGGCCAUUUAAUUCACUUAGAUAGCCAAAUUAUCUAAUGACAAAACCAAAAAAAAAAAAAAAAGCCAUCCAUCACCAGAAAUCAACCAAAGACUCAAAAAAAAAAAAAAUCAAAAUCAAAUUCUUACCAUGCUUCCAACAGACAAGAGUCUGGACAUAGGACCAGGACCAGGACUCACCUUUAGUCCCCUGGGUUGCCAGCCAGGAAUGGAGCACAAAAGGCUCCAGAUGGCCUUAUUACCUGGCUGGAGCAGAUGGGAAUCUGGAGGCAAGGUGCCAUCCUGAGGCAAACUGUCAAAGACAAAAACCAGACAAGUUAGGAGACCAAAAUGAGGGAGACUAUCACAAUAGGAGUAUCAACCCCAGUCUAAAUAUCUUCGGAGCACCUCUACUUUUAUAGACGUUUGCAAAUGAGGUGGUUUUACACCCUGGCUUUGCAAGCUGCAGAAAUAAGCCUUAUUUAUCAAAACAGGAAAUGGUUUUUCCCAAAUAUGGCUAGCUUGCUACCUUCGGAGAGCAGAGAGUUUUAAUCUCCGUUAAUCAACCAUGAGCUAAAGAACAGGAUGUGAAAGUGUCUUGUUUUGCCUUGUCAGCACAUUCAGACCAAAGGGGAAAGUGCGUGGGGUUUUGUCACACGUGAUCAAAGAUCUUGGAGCCAAGAGCUUCGAGCGGAAGUAACAGCACGUGAUCAAAGAUCUGGGAGCCAAGAGCUUCAAGGGGAAAUAACAACACAGGAAAUGAGACUUCUAGCCCCCACCCCAAGCGAGGCUAAAUCCUUUCUCAGCCCAGUGGGCUCUUCUACAUGGAAUACACUUACUUUCCAUGCCCCCCACCCCGCCACGCACACGUACCUCCUUACAUGUAGCCUCUCUUCCCCUCUUAACACUUCUAUCCACAUCUCUCCAUUUCCAGAUGCCAGCCCGCUCUAUCACCCGAUCCCUUCAAGGCUACUGAGAUACCACCUAAAUGGUUUCCUGCCUUCCUGACUUUUCUCCCACAAUUCAGUUUCCAAGAAGCAGAGCGAAACGAGGUGAAAACUGAUUUUUUACUACCCUGUUCAAAAGUUUUCAGUCUCUCCCUGUUACCUUUCCAAAAUGGUCUACACUGCAUAGCAGAAUGUGCAAGCCUUUCACAUUCUGGCUCACCUCUUCUUUUGCCAGCCCUGAGCAGACUCUACUCUCCAGCUCUGUUGAAUGCUUGCAGUUCCCAAACAGCCCAUGCUCUUCUCCACGUCUAGACCCUUGUCUGUGUUUUCCUUUCUGCCUCCAAUGCCCUCUCUCCACCUGGCUACGUCCUUAAGGACAUGCGGGCUAAGUCCUGCAUGUAUACAUGAGGUUUAGAUGACACAUACUCCGGGCUCGCCCCUGGCCCCCCCCCCCCCCCCUGUUCUCUCAGCCUUCCCAAAUCUGAAUGGGCUGCAAGUUCUCCAUUCCAUACUCUCUUCUUUCAUAGCACUUACUGUACCAUUUGGAAAAUUGCUCUUUGCCUGUCUCUGCAAAUAAAUGAGAAACUCCCUGAAAGUCAA
Molecule: long non-coding RNA, 7449 nt
Organism: Neofelis nebulosa (Clouded leopard)
Lineage: Eukaryota; Metazoa; Chordata; Mammalia; Carnivora; Felidae
Exons: 2
Source: RefSeq, a predicted model, not a curated record